AGCUAUUGUUUAAGAAAGCAACUAGAAGGGGCACUUCGGCGGCUCAGUGGGUUAAGCCUCUGCCUCCGGCUCAGGUCAUGAUCUCAGGGUCCUGGGAU
This is a long non-coding RNA of Mustela erminea (ermine), 98 nucleotides long. RefSeq lists it as uncharacterized. NCBI's taxonomy places the organism in Eukaryota, Metazoa, Chordata, Mammalia, Carnivora, Mustelidae. The transcript is spliced from 3 exons. The record is from RefSeq and is a predicted model, not a curated record.